Molecule: ribosomal RNA, 511 nt
Filed under: uncultured Verrucomicrobiota bacterium
Lineage: Bacteria; Pseudomonadati; Verrucomicrobiota
Description: bacterial SSU rRNA
Rfam family: Bacterial small subunit ribosomal RNA
Source: RNAcentral
GACCGCGUGGAGGAGUGAAGGUCUUCGGAUUGUAAACUCCUGUCAUCGGGGAGUAAGACCUGGGCGUGAAUAGCGCACAGGGUUGAUAGUACCCGAAGAGGAAGGGACGGCUAACUUCGUGCCAGCAGCCGCGGUAAUACGAAGGUCCCAAGCGUUGUUCGGAAUCACUGGGCGUAAAGGGAGCGUAGGCGGCGUGGUAAGUCAGAUGUGAAAUCCCGGGGCUCAACCCCGGAACUGCAUCCGAUACUGCCGUGCUUGAGGGUUGGAGAGGUAGCUGGAAUUAUCGGUGUAGCAGUGAAAUGCGUGGAUAUCGAUAGGAACACUCGUGGCGAAGGCGAGCUACUGGACAACAUCUGACGCUGAGGCUCGAAGGCUAGGGGAGCAAAAGGGAUUAGAUACCCCUGUAGUCCUAGCAGUAAACGGUGUGCGCUUGGUGUGAGGGGAUUCGACCCCCCUUGUGCCGGAGCUAACGCGUUAAGCGCACCGCCUGGGAAGUACGGCCGCAAGGCUA